UUCUUAUUAGCUUAAGGGUAGAGCAGAAUACUUCUAAUAUUUAGAUCUUAGUUCGAGUCUAAGAUAAGAAU
This is a transfer RNA of 71 nucleotides. It matches the Rfam family "tRNA". From Rfam's summary of the family: Transfer RNA (tRNA) molecules are approximately 80 nucleotides in length. Their secondary structure includes four short double-helical elements and three loops (D, anti-codon, and T loops). Further hydrogen bonds mediate the characteristic L-shaped molecular structure. tRNAs have two regions of fundamental functional importance: the anti-codon, which is responsible for specific mRNA codon recognition, and the 3' end, to which the tRNAs corresponding amino acid is attached (by aminoacyl-tRNA synthetases). tRNAs cope with the degeneracy of the genetic code in two manners: having more than one tRNA (with a specific anti-codon) for a particular amino acid; and 'wobble' base-pairing, i.e. permitting non-standard base-pairing at the 3rd anti-codon position. The record is from Rfam.